Molecule: small nucleolar RNA, 77 nt
Organism: Fundulus heteroclitus (mummichog)
Lineage: Eukaryota; Metazoa; Chordata; Actinopteri; Cyprinodontiformes; Fundulidae
Source: Ensembl
GCCGGUAGACAUGAUGACUUGUUUUACCGCCCCAGUCUGAAAAGUCAUGACUGAUUGGUAUUUCCUUCUGAUCCGUC